Molecule: ribosomal RNA, 245 nt
Filed under: uncultured Clostridia bacterium
Lineage: Bacteria; Bacillati; Bacillota; Clostridia
Description: partial 16S ribosomal RNA
Rfam family: Bacterial small subunit ribosomal RNA
Source: RNAcentral
UACGUAGGGGGCGAGCGUUGUCCGGAGUUACUGGGCGUAAAGCGCGUGUAGGCGGUUGUUUAAGUCAGGUGUGAAAUCCUAAGGCUCAACCUUGGAACUGCGCCUGAAACUGAAUAACUGGAGUCUUGGAGGGGCAGCCGGAAUUCCUGGUGUAACGGUGAAAUGUGUAGAUAUCAGGAGGAACACCUGUGGCGAAAGCGGGCUGCUGGACAAUGACUGACGCUGAGACGCGAAAGCGUGGGUAG